This 1312-nucleotide long non-coding RNA is filed under the name Gallus gallus (chicken). Its description in RNAcentral is "long non-coding RNA NONGGAT004692". Lineage: Eukaryota; Metazoa; Chordata; Aves; Galliformes; Phasianidae. The record is from RNAcentral.
GAAAUAAACAGGAGGCAUUACUUUUGGAGCAACCCAUGUAUAUGUGGCCCAGAACCAUUCCUCUUCACUCAAUACAGCUCAGACAAGCCAAAAGGUUGGAUAGCCAUGCUCUAAGGCUUCUGCUCAUCCAGAAGAGACUGCAGGGACUUCAGGUGAUCUUCGCCUCCUGCUGAACCAGAUAGGUAAAAAGGGAAAAGGUUAUAUUCUGAUAUCAUCAGGAGCAAUAUUGGGCAACUUAGGACCUCCUAUAUUUGGCCUAUGACUUUUGCAGGAAGAUCUCCACCCUCCUCCAACAAGAAGUACACUGCCAUCCCUCCUAAAUCCAGGACUCGCAUCAAAAACAGACUGAUGGGAUGCUGUUGUGACAAGAGGAGAGGACAGGAUUGCCCACUGGAUGAGGAGUUGUGGAGCAGUACUCAAGGAAAUCCCAUCGAUCAGACCGAUUCAGCAGAGAGCUUUUUUCUUCAUCAAUGACACCAGAUUCUGUACAACUCUCCACUGUGACAGCUUUGUACAAAUGGGAAUCCAUAGCAAAUGUGAGCAUAACCUGCAACAGAGUGAAGCCCAAACCAAACAAGUAAACCAACCAACCAAACAAGAAACCCACAUAUUUUUCAGCAAUGGGAGAGAAGGCGAGAAAAUAUUUACCUUAUUCUCCCUCCAUGCUUGUUUCACUCACAUUAGAGUAGAUUUCCCCUUUCCGGAUUGUCUCGUGCAUAAAAUACACCCAAGUUUCAUGAGCUGUGUAUGUGCCUAUACAAGUGGAGUGCACAAGCUCUGCUGGCUGUGCUGGUGGGGAGUCCUGGCACUGAGUAGUGGCUCUGGGUCAAAACUGUGGAGAGGGCACCAGAAAUUAAUAUAGAUCAUCUUUUUCAUAAUGUUAGAGAGUGCCACCAGUGUUUGGUGGCUCAGUUUGCUCCAUGAAACUGUGGUUGGGGCUGCUUUGCAUCCACCUGCUGAUUACUCCACUCUUCCCCUUUCCCCAUUAGGAGAGAAAAAGAUUAAAUUCCCAUUAAUUAAAAGCUAAUUGAUGACAAGAUGACAACACUAAUGUAGAAGCUCAUGGUCCUGAGUAACAAGAUGCUAAAUAUCACCAGUUCAAUUUAAAAAGACAGCAUCAAUGUUAGCCUGAUAACUAGAGAAACAAUCUUGCUAACUGUGGGAAAUGACUCAAAGGCCUGGCUUGGUUGUCAUAGGAGGAUGGGAUGAGACCCCACAGCACCCAGUGGGUGCAACCCAGCCUGUUGUGCUCCCCCAAGCCCUGCACUGCCGUGGCACUGUGCACACCUGGCUGUGCGCAUGAAGCCAAAUC